RNAcentral lists this ribosomal RNA (386 nucleotides) under Chlamydomonas sp. Its description in RNAcentral is "partial small subunit ribosomal RNA". It matches the Rfam family "Eukaryotic small subunit ribosomal RNA", at positions 582 to 975 of the family's 1831-position model. The record is from RNAcentral. Lineage: Eukaryota; Viridiplantae; Chlorophyta; Chlorophyceae; Chlamydomonadales; Chlamydomonadaceae.
AUUCCAGCUCCAAUAGCGUAUAUUUAAGUUGCUGCAGUUAAAAAGCUCGUAGUUGGAUUUCGGGCGGUUGACGACGGUCCGCCUCUGGUGUGCACUGCCGUUCUUCCGCCUUUCUGUUGGGGACGUGCUCCUAGGCUUCAUUGUCUGGGACACGGGUUCGACGUGGUUACUUUGAGUAAAUUAGAGUGUUCAAAGCAGGCAUCGCCUUGAAUAUAUUAGCAUGGAAUAGCACGAUAGGACUCUGGCCUAUUUUGCUGGUCUGUAGGACCGGAGUAAUGAUUAAGAGGGACAGUCGGGGGCAUUCGUAUUUCAUUGUCAGAGGUGAAAUUCUUGGAUUUAUGAAAGACGAACUUCUGCGAAAGCAUUUGCCAAGGAUGUUUUCAUUA